GAUGAACGCUGGCGGCGUGCCUAAUACAUGCAAGUCGAGCGAACAGAUGAGGAGCUUGCUCCUCUGACGUUAGCGGCGGACGGGUGAGUAACACGUGGAUAACCUACCUAUAAGACUGGGAUAACUUCGGGAAACCGGAGCUAAUACCGGAUAAUAUAUUGAACCGCAUGGUUCAAUAGUGAAAGACGGUUUUGCUGUCACUUAUAGAUGGAUCCGCGCCGCAUUAGCUAGUUGGUAAGGUAACGGCUUACCAAGGCAACGAUGCGUAGCCGACCUGAGAGGGUGAUCGGCCACACUGGAACUGAGACACGGUCCAGACGCCUACGGGAGGCAGCAGUAGGGAAUCGGCCGCAAUGGGCGAAAGCCUGACGGAGCAACGUCGCGUGAGUGAUGAAGGUCUUCGGAUCGUAAAACUCUGUUAUUAGGGAAGAACAAAUGUGUAAGUAACUAUGCACGUCUUGACGGUACCUAAUCAGAAAGCCACGGCUAACUACGUG
This 497-nucleotide ribosomal RNA is filed under the name uncultured bacterium. Its description in RNAcentral is "partial 16S ribosomal RNA". It matches the Rfam family "Bacterial small subunit ribosomal RNA", at positions 28 to 507 of the family's 1533-position model. The record is from RNAcentral.